GGCUUCAUCAGGUAGCAGGGAGGAGAAUAUGUAAAUAAAAUUGAAAUAAAAGGUGCAAAAAGUAGUAAAAAUGUAUGUAUAUAUAUCUACAUGUACAGUAGGGUGUACUGUGCAAUUUACUUGCCUUGAAUGUAGUCCUGAUUGGAUGUGUGGAGCGAAAUGAUGACUGUCCCGGUGGUCUCCUCAAGCUGUGAGGAGAGCUAACUCUCCGGUGUGUGCGCGUGUGGGAAUGUGGCUUAGGUUAUUUCGAUUGGUCUGUACUGUUACUAGGUAGGAUAGCCGCUAACAGGUUGAGGUGUGGAGGAAUCAGAUAAAGGUGAGAGUGGAAUAGGGAUGCAGUAAAGUGGAUGGGCAGUUAGAGUGGAGGUCAAGCACAUCUAAUAACAAUACAAUGGAGACCCAAUGUGAUAAAUGUUCAACCUUGUAGUGACACAAGCUUUUCAAAUGUUAUUUGGUAUGAAUGAGGAGUGGAGUGUGACAAAACAGGGGACACAAUACAUUGUAAGGGACAGACAGGGUUAACAACAUGAGGUCAGGUACAGAUACAUGUACACACACACAUACACAUACACAGAGGGGUUGGAACUGGGGUUGCAGUUCGGGUUAGGGGCCAGGGCUAAGGUCAGAGACAGUGUUAGGAAUGGUAGGGGUUAGAAUGGUUAAGGUUAGGGUUGGAGUGGUUUAAGGAUAAGGUUGAGGUCCAAAUAGGAAUGAUCAGGGUUAGGUUUAGGGUAGGAUGGUUAAGGUGAGGGUUAAGGUUUGGGUUGGGGUUAGAAUAGUUAGUUAGGGUUAGAGUGGUUAAGGUUAGGGUUAAGGACAAAGCAAGGGUGAUUAAGGUUAAGUUUAGAGUAAGAAUGGUUGCGGUUAGGGUUAGGAUGUUUAACUUUAGGUAACCUACAUUAUAAGAAACAGACAAGGUUAACAACAUAAGGUCAGACACAGAUACCUAUACUAAUACAUACACUCACAGGGGGGUUGGGGCUAGGAUUGCAGUUAAGGUGGGGGGCUAGGGUUAAGGUCAGGAUUAGUGUUAGUGUUAGGAAUGGUAAGGGUAAGAAUGGUUAAGGCCAGGGUUAGGUUUAGGGUAGGAAUGUUUCAGAUAAGGGUUGGAAUGGUUCCGGUUAGGUUACGGGUUAGGUGAGGGGGUUGGGUAGGUCUUGUGGGGUCCAAUUUAAAACGGAUG
Molecule: long non-coding RNA, 1183 nt
Organism: Oncorhynchus tshawytscha (Chinook salmon)
Lineage: Eukaryota; Metazoa; Chordata; Actinopteri; Salmoniformes; Salmonidae
Source: Ensembl